Molecule: non-coding RNA, 88 nt
Organism: Mycena vulgaris
Lineage: Eukaryota; Fungi; Basidiomycota; Agaricomycetes; Agaricales; Mycenaceae
Source: the annotation of a GenBank genome assembly
GGCUUGGUAGCGCUCUCAUCGCGUCUGCUUUCAAUUGCGAGUCAGGUUGUUUCAGCAGAAGACGCUCGUUCGACUCGAGCCCAAGUCC